RNAcentral lists this transfer RNA (89 nucleotides) under Euzebyales bacterium. RNAcentral describes it as "tRNA-Ser". It matches the Rfam family "tRNA". Rfam says of the family: Transfer RNA (tRNA) molecules are approximately 80 nucleotides in length. Their secondary structure includes four short double-helical elements and three loops (D, anti-codon, and T loops). Lineage: Bacteria; Bacillati; Actinomycetota; Nitriliruptoria; Euzebyales. RNAcentral also lists the same sequence under 3 other names. The record is from RNAcentral.
GGUGGAGUCGCAUAGCCCGGCCUAGUGCGCCGCACUCGAAAUGCGGUAGGGCGGCAACGCCCUCGUGGGUUCGAAUCCCACCUCCACCA